UACGAAGGGUGCUAGCGUUGUUCGGAUUUACUGGGCGUAAAGGGCACGCAGGCGGCCAAACAAGUCAGAGGUGAAAUCCCAGGGCUCAACCCUGGAACUGCCUUUGAAACUGUUUGGCUAGAGACCGAGAGAGGUGAGUGGAAUUCCUAGUGUAGAGGUGAAAUUCGUAGAUAUUAGGAGGAACACCAGUGGCGAAGGCGGCUCACUGGCUCGGUACUGACGCUCAUGUGCGAAAGCGUGGGGAGCGAACAGG
This 253-nucleotide ribosomal RNA is filed under the name uncultured bacterium. RNAcentral's name for it is "partial 16S ribosomal RNA". It matches the Rfam family "Bacterial small subunit ribosomal RNA", at positions 524 to 776 of the family's 1533-position model. The record is from RNAcentral.